RNAcentral lists this transfer RNA (19 nucleotides) under Forsstroemia trichomitria. RNAcentral's name for it is "partial tRNA-Ser". The record is from RNAcentral. RNAcentral also lists the same sequence under 15 other names. Lineage: Eukaryota; Viridiplantae; Streptophyta; Bryopsida; Hypnales; Leptodontaceae.
GGAAAGAGAGGGAUUCGAC